This is a long non-coding RNA of Bactrocera neohumeralis, 1178 nucleotides long. RefSeq lists it as uncharacterized. The transcript is spliced from 3 exons. The record is from RefSeq and is a predicted model, not a curated record. Lineage: Eukaryota; Metazoa; Arthropoda; Insecta; Diptera; Tephritidae.
CAGAUUUUGUCGUUAUAUUCUUUUUGAUUUUCUAAGAAUAACAAAAUUGCCAUUAAUAAUCUCUUUUUAUCCAUUUCUAUUUUGCUUUUUUUAAUAAAUAAACAAAUUUCACAAUCAGCUGUCGAAAUUCACAAGUCUGCCGUCUGUCACCAUAAAAUUUCAAUUCGCAUUUGCGUUGCUUAAGGCGCUUUAAUUUUGCUCGUCUGUCAGGGCUAUAAGAUACAAUACUAAAUCUAUCAAAUUACUUGCUCUUAAUAUUGACAUAAUUUGUGCAUUUCAUUGAAACUGUUUGAUAUGGGUACCUGAGUGACUCCCAAAGAUUCUGUGGGGAUUUCUUAUACUAUGUUCGGAUCGACAUUGGAAACAUUUUAAAAACACAUUUGUAUGUUGUGGAAUCUAAUAGCCCUGACAGACGAGCAAAAUUAAAGCGCCUUAAGCAACGCAAAUGCGAAUUGAAAUUUUAUGGUGACAGACGGCAGACUUGUGAAUUUCGACAGCUGAUUGUGAAAUUUGUUUAUUUAUUAAAAAAGCAAAAUAGAAAUGGAUAAAAAGAGAUUAUUAAUGGCAAUUUUGUUAUUCUUAGAAAAUCAAAAAGAAUAUAACGACAAAAUCUGUUUAUUACUAAAUCAGUUAAAACAAAAUAGAGUGAAAGUAAAAGCAAUUCUUGAUUGUAACGCAAGCUUAAGAACUGGGAUUGCAAUCGCUCAGCCACACAUACGAAAUGUUUGGAAAUUCUACCGAAGUGGUAAAUUUUGGGAGCACGAUAUUCCUGCAAUGGAUGAAGCAAGGUUUAAGGAAAACUUUCGCGUAGACAGAAGCACUUUCCAAAAAUUGUGCGAAAAAGUAAAAAAUAUCGGUAAAAUGGAUAGCAACAUGCGGCGCUGUAUCCCACUUGAAAAAAUAGUAGCUAUUGCACUUUUUUCAUUGGGUUCGGCAGCAGAAUAUAGAUCCGUUGCUAGUUUGUUUGGCAUUGGGCGUGCAGUUUGCGACAGUCUUGCGGACUGCAUUGAUGCAUAUCCCCCACAUCCACAAGAACUAAAAAGAGAUGUCGAAGGGUUCAAAAUGAUGGGAUUUCCACAAUGUUUUGGUGCUGUAGAUGGUUGCCACAUCGAAGUUCAGCCCAAAAAAGACGAAGCCGUAGAUUAGUAUAACUAUAAAGGAUGGUAUUCAGUCAUUUU